AUGCGUAUAGAGGAUAUCAAAGCGGACACCAUUGACGUGGCCGUCGAAAGGAUUCUCGUUGAACUUGGGGCAGACACUACAAGAAGCAGAGAGAAUGCCAUCUACUUUGAUGGUUGGGAUGGUCUUGGGGCAUCUGCCGUCCUGCAAGCUGUAGCCGAACGCCUCGCCAUAUCAAAUGAGCCGUCGACGAGGCCCACAGGGCUGGAGUUUGAGAAAAUCAUCCACGUCGACUGCUCAAAGUGGGAGAGCACAAGAGCAAUGCAGAGGGAAAUUGCAGAGCAGCUGAAGCUUCCCAAGUGGGUGAUGGAAAUAUUUGACAAACAAGACGAGGAGGAUGAUUUCAAUGGGUUAGACCAGGGCUCCCGAACUGUGAUAGCACAAGUUGUCAGAGAGAUCUAUCAAGCCACACAAAAUCGCAGAUUCUUGGUGAUUCUGCACAAUGGAAGCAAUGUAGCGAUUGAUGUAUAUAAAUUUGGUCUCUAUAUAUAUGGAUAUGCCAAUAGCAAGAUGCUGUGGACUUUUCAAGGGAGGUUUCGUCUUGACCCUAAGAUGAUAGACAAUGUGAAGAAGAGCACCUCAACUGAUGUUGUUCUUUCAGCUUCAAGAGAUCGACAAGAUCGACAGGAGCUUUGGUCUUACCUACUGCACCAUGAGGCUGCACAAGUUUCCUGCAGCUGCAAUAAGAAUGGCCACGGUAUCAUUGAUCCAGCAAUUGUUGUUGAGUGUGCCUUGUAUGUGCUGAAACAAUGUUGUAUCGGCUCUCCUAUUGUUGACUACGACUGGCCUGCCCACACCAGUAACUAUUGGGUAUGCGACGGGAUCAUUGCGCUGACAGACAUUGACAAAGCAUGGCAAGUUGGCGAUGUUCUGCAGCAUGAGGUGCGUCUGUUGGACAUUGACAACCGGCAUAAUACUGGCGAGUCAACAAUAAUGCCUUCCACUCACUUGUCAAGGUCUACCGAGCAUAUGCAGUACUGGAUUUCCACAUCAACGUGUGGAUUUGAGCUGAGCUCUUCUGGAGUUAUGCCUGACGACAUGUUUCAGCAUUCACACCUGCUCGGCGUGCUCAAGCUCUCGAGGUGUACCUUUAGCUUCUCAUCGCCUCCAUUCCUCUGUUGCCAUAGCCUGAGAUUCCUGUCACUUCUGCACUGCCAAGACCUCCGAACAAGAACAAGCAAUGCACAUCAUUACCACACAGAUUCAGACAAGGAGUUGGACAGCAGCACCACGAUGUUGUGGGAAUGUUUCCAAAGCUUGUGGGUGCUUGAUCUACGCUACACAGAUUGGGACCAGAUCUUGUCAGCACGGAUGAUGGAUCUCAUGACCCGGCUCAGAGAGCUAAUCGUGAUGGGAGCCAAUAACUGGGACAUGAGCCAUUUACGGGGGCGGCUGCGCAACAUUCGCAAGCUCCGUGUAACAAAGUCCACGUGCUGCUUUAACAACGAUGUGUUCUCAGAGAUGGAGAUGUUGGAGCUUCUUGAUUUAUCGGGAAAUACCAUCACACGAUGCAUGACAAGCUUAUCUGGAGCUGCAAGAAACCGCAGCCUUCAGACUGUCAUUAUCUAUGGAAAUUAUGGGUUAGAACUGAUCUCUUUUAGGGGCUGCAAAGAAUUGAAGAACCUGUUGCUGAAAGGAUAUUUCUCGAGCCUUGAGGAGCUGGACAUCUCGGGCACAAGUGUGAAAACCCUUGACCUUGGAGGAGUGGAUGCUACCUCACUCCCCCAGAAUCAUCUUGCUAGGCUGCGAGAAGCUCUGUGCAAUAUUGUGGCCACAACACAAAGAAAGCCAAGAAUGGUCUGGCAUGCUCUGUAUUGA
Molecule: ribosomal RNA, 1815 nt
Filed under: Triticum aestivum (bread wheat)
Lineage: Eukaryota; Viridiplantae; Streptophyta; Magnoliopsida; Poales; Poaceae
Description: partial small subunit ribosomal RNA
Source: RNAcentral